UACGUAGGGUGCAAGCGUUAAUCGGAAUUACUGGGCGUAAAGCGUGCGCAGGCGGUUGUGCAAGACAGAUGUGAAAUCCCCGGGCUUAACCUGGGAACUGCAUUUGUGACUGCACGGCUGGAGUGCGGCAGAGGGGGAUGGAAUUCCGCGUGUAGCAGUGAAAUGCGUAGAUAUGCGGAGGAACACCGAUGGCGAAGGCAAUCCCCUGGGCCUGCACUGACGCUCAUGCACGAAAGCGUGGGGAGCAAACAGGAUUAGAAACCCCCGUAGUCC
RNAcentral lists this ribosomal RNA (273 nucleotides) under uncultured bacterium. RNAcentral's name for it is "partial 16S ribosomal RNA". It matches the Rfam family "Bacterial small subunit ribosomal RNA", at positions 524 to 796 of the family's 1533-position model. The record is from RNAcentral.